AAUUUCAUAAUUAAAGACAAGGUAUACGGGACUCUGAAUCCUGAGACAGCGGUUCGAAUCCGCUUGGGGCUA
This 72-nucleotide transfer RNA is filed under the name uncultured archaeon. RNAcentral's name for it is "tRNA-Gln(ctg)". It matches the Rfam family "tRNA". Rfam says of the family: Transfer RNA (tRNA) molecules are approximately 80 nucleotides in length. Their secondary structure includes four short double-helical elements and three loops (D, anti-codon, and T loops). Further hydrogen bonds mediate the characteristic L-shaped molecular structure. tRNAs have two regions of fundamental functional importance: the anti-codon, which is responsible for specific mRNA codon recognition, and the 3' end, to which the tRNAs corresponding amino acid is attached (by aminoacyl-tRNA synthetases). tRNAs cope with the degeneracy of the genetic code in two manners: having more than one tRNA (with a specific anti-codon) for a particular amino acid; and 'wobble' base-pairing, i.e. permitting non-standard base-pairing at the 3rd anti-codon position. The record is from RNAcentral.